RNAcentral lists this ribosomal RNA (425 nucleotides) under uncultured bacterium. Its description in RNAcentral is "partial 16S ribosomal RNA". It matches the Rfam family "Bacterial small subunit ribosomal RNA", at positions 354 to 796 of the family's 1533-position model. The record is from RNAcentral.
GUGGGGAAUCUUGCGCAAUAGGCGAAAGCCUGACGCAGCCAUGCCGCGUGAAUGAUGAAGGUCUUAGGAUUGUAAAAUUCUUUCACCGGGGACGAUAAUGACGGUACCCGGAGAAGAAGCUCCGGCUAACUUCGUGCCAGCAGCCGCGGUAAUACGAAGGGGGCUAGCGUUGCUCGGAAUUACUGGGCGUAAAGGGCGCGUAGGCGGACAGCUUAGUCAGAGGUGAAAGCCCAGGGCUCAACCUUGGAAUUGCCUUUGAUACUGGCUGUCUUGAGUUUGGGAGAGGUGAGUGGAACUCCGAGUGUAGAGGUGAAAUUCGUAGAUAUUCGGAAGAACACCAGUGGCGAAGGCGACUGACUGGACAAGUAUUGACGCUGAGGUGCGAAAGCGUGGGGAGCAAACAGGAUUAGAUACCCGGGUAGUCC